This 732-nucleotide ribosomal RNA is filed under the name uncultured Acidobacteriota bacterium. RNAcentral describes it as "bacterial SSU rRNA". It matches the Rfam family "Bacterial small subunit ribosomal RNA", at positions 68 to 782 of the family's 1533-position model. The record is from RNAcentral. Lineage: Bacteria; Pseudomonadati; Acidobacteriota.
GCGGUUAUCCAGCAAUGGAUGACUGAGUGGCGAACGGGUGAGUAACACGUGGGUGACCUACCUUCGAGUGGGGGAUAACGUCCCGAAAGGGACGCUAAUACCGCAUAACAUCCUGCCUUUGAACAGGCGGAGAUCAAAGCCGGGGAUCGUAAGACCUGGCGUUUGAAGAGGGGCCCGCGUCCGAUUAGCUAGUUGGUGAGGUAACGGCCCACCAAGGCGACGAUCGGUAACCGGCCUGAGAGGGCGGACGGUCACACUGGGACUGAGACACGGCCCAGACUCCUACGGGAGGCAGCAGUGGGGAAUUGUUCGCAAUGGGCGCAAGCCUGACGACGCAACGCCGCGUGGAGGAUGAAGGUCUUCGGAUUGUAAACUCCUGUUGCCAGGGACGAAAAGCUUCGACCUAAUACGUCGAGGUCUGACGGUACCUGGUGAGGAAGCCCCGGCUAACUCUGUGCCAGCAGCCGCGGUAAUACAGAGGGGGCAAGCGUUGUUCGGAAUUACUGGGCGUAAAGGGCGCGUAGGCGGCCUGUUAAGUCGAACGUGAAAUCCCCGGGCUCAACCCGGGAACUGCGUCCGAUACUGGCAGGCUUGAAUCCGGGAGAGGGAUGUGGAAUUCCAGGUGUAGCGGUGAAAUGCGUAGAUAUCUGGAGGAACACCGGUGGCGAAGGCGGCAUCCUGGACCGGUAUUGACGCUGAGGCGCGAAAGCCAGGGGAGCAAACGGGAUUAGA